RNAcentral lists this long non-coding RNA (1212 nucleotides) under Mytilus galloprovincialis (Mediterranean mussel). The record is from RNAcentral. Lineage: Eukaryota; Metazoa; Mollusca; Bivalvia; Mytilida; Mytilidae.
CGUGUUGAAAGCAUACAAGACUAUCGUAGAUCCAUAUUCAAUAUGACUAUUUGAUUUUCCUUCGUCACUAUUUUAAAGUUUUGACAAUUUGAAUUUUAGUACAUCUGUUCCAACCUAGUAUGGAACUAAGACAUAUAUAAAUGUGUGAUUUGUAAAAUAAAUUUUCAUUGAAUUUAAAAUAAAAAAAAUUUAAAACAAGAAUGUGUCCAUAGUACACGGAUGCCCCACUCGCACUAUCAUUUUCUAUAUUCAGUGGACCGUGAAAUUGGGGUCAAAACUUUAAUUUGUAAUUAAAAUUAGAAAGGUCAUAUCAUAGGGAACAUGUGAACUAAGUUUCAAGUUGAUGUAACUUUAACUUCAUCAGAAACUACCUUCACCAAAAACUUAAACCUGAACUUCGCACUAUCAUUUUCUAUGUUCAGUGGACCAUGAAAUUGGGGUCAAAACUAUAUUUUGGCAUUAAAAUUAGAAAAAAAAAAAAAGAUCAUAUCAUAUCAUGGGGAACAUGUGUACUAAGUUUCAAGUUGAUUGGACUUAAACUUCUUCAAAAACUACAUUGACCAACAACUUUAACCUGAAACGAACGGACGCACGGACGGACAUACGGACGGACGGACGAACGAACGAACAGAGACACAGACCAGAAAACAUAAUGCCCAUCUACUAUCGUAGGUGGGGCAUACAAAUGUAUUGUGUUCAACAUAUUAGAUGAUGAAUAGAUUUCAUGAUGUCAUUUGACGAAAGUAUUUAACCAAUUAUUUUCGCUAGUAAUUUUAUAGUCAUCACUUCGAAAGUCUUGCAGAAGCAGGUAUGAUUUGGUUUACCGUAAUGCAAUAAUCUGUCACUUGUGAUUUGUAUUUAUUCAUGAAACAAUUCAACCUAUUUUUCUUACAAUUCUGCGUCCUUUUCUAGACAAAUAUAACAUAUCUGUAUAUGAAUCAUCAUUACAUGUUUUGAUUGUCAUGAGCGACACGACAUAGGUCAUAUUUGAAUUACCGUUCCAGGUCGUUUUAUAGUGAAUAAUAUGUGUUUGUUGGGUUGAUAUUUAUAUAACGAUAACUUGUCUGCCGAUCUUAGCCGUUUCGUUAAAUUGUCGAUUUUUAUUCAUUUCUUUGUAUUUUCUUGUAAUUUUAAAUCUUGUUGUACAUGUCAUUAUUUUAAAAUAAGUUAAUUGUACAUGAACAAUAUAUAUUUGUGAUUCAUGGUUUUGAC